UUCGUAUAGCACAUAUUUAUGAUAUUUUAAGCAUACUUCAUGAUUUGAGUCAGUCAACGACGUUUUAUUUUUCUCUACAGAUUUAGAUAGAAUAUUUCAUAUAAUUAUUGCAAUUAUAAAUUUGUUAAAGUAAGUAAAUAGUUUAAAACUUUAAGUUAAAAUAUCAUUGAUUGAUCCAAAUCAGAUAAAUUGAAAAAAUUGGAUAGUAAAAUUAAAAUUUUAAAAUUUUAAAUAAUCAACUAAAAAUUGUCCAUAGUCCAAAUAAGUUACGAAGUUAUGAUAGCUUCUCCCAAAAUUUAUUUACUCCCCAAAUAAUAGCAAAAGUGUCAAAUAUAGUAAUUUUUUUGGGUUAAUUUUACACAGGCCCCUACAAAACAUAAUGAAUUGUAAAUAUAUUCCUACAAAGUUCAACUUCUAUAUAUUGUCCUUGCAAACAUUUUAAUAUUUUCAAAUAUAUUUCUACUGUUAGGAUCCGUUAUAAAAAAUUAGUUAAUCAUAUAUUAAAUACUUAACAUUAGUUAGUUAAUGAGGUGAAUUGAUCUUUUCGUCCCUCUUUAAUUAGUGGUUGAGAUUUUUAGAAAAAUAUAUUUGUAUUGCCAAAAAGGUCAUUUCACUUAUAAAAUAAACAGUAUUUUAACGAUAACAAAUCAGAGAAACAUAUUUGAAAAUAUUUAGACUUUUGUAGAAACAACAUAUAAAAAUUAAACUUUAUAAUAAUAUAUUUGUAAUUUACUAUAUUUACAGGGACUUGAAUAAAAUUAAUUCCUUUUUUUCU
RNAcentral lists this long non-coding RNA (775 nucleotides) under Ananas comosus (pineapple). RNAcentral's name for it is "long non-coding RNA (ACOM_LNC021883)". The record is from RNAcentral. Lineage: Eukaryota; Viridiplantae; Streptophyta; Magnoliopsida; Poales; Bromeliaceae.